RNAcentral lists this ribosomal RNA (683 nucleotides) under Pseudomonas brassicacearum. Its description in RNAcentral is "bacterial SSU rRNA". It matches the Rfam family "Bacterial small subunit ribosomal RNA", at positions 61 to 735 of the family's 1533-position model. The record is from RNAcentral. Lineage: Bacteria; Pseudomonadati; Pseudomonadota; Gammaproteobacteria; Pseudomonadales; Pseudomonadaceae.
GUCGAGCGGUAGAGAGGUGCCUGCACCUCUUGAGAGCGGCGGACGGGUGAGUAAAGCCUAGGAAUCUGCCUGGUAGUGGGGGAUAACGCUCGGAAACGGACGCUAAUACCGCAUACGUCCUACGGGAGAAAGCAGGGGACCUUCGGGCCUUGCGCUAUCAGAUGAGCCUAGGUCGGAUUAGCUAGUUGGUGAGGUAAUGGCUCACCAAGGCGACGAUCCGUAACUGGUCUGAGAGGAUGAUCAGUCACACUGGAACUGAGACACGGUCCAGACUCCUACGGGAGGCAGCAGUGGGGAAUAUUGGACAAUGGGCGAAAGCCUGAUCCAGCCAUGCCGCGUGUGUGAAGAAGGUCUUCGGAUUGUAAAGCACUUUAAGUUGGGAGGAAGGGCAUUAACCUAAUACGUUAGUGUUUUGACGUUACCGACAGAAUAAGCACCGGCUAACUCUGUGCCAGCAGCCGCGGUAAUACAGAGGGUGCAAGCGUUAAUCGGAAUUACUGGGCGUAAAGCGCGCGUAGGUGGUUCGUUAAGUUGGAUGUGAAAUCCCCGGGCUCAACCUGGAACUGCAUUCAAAACUGUCGAGCUAGAGUAUGGUAGAGGGGUGGGUGGAAUUUCCUGUGUAGCGGUGAAAUGCGUAGAUAUAGGAAGGGAACACGCAGUGGGCGAAAGCGACCACCUGGACU